UGGCCCCUCAGCCCGUUUCCCUGAAAAGGGGGGGUGAAAGGAUUUGUGGUACUGUAAAAAGGAUUUGUUGGAUUGUUACGGCACUCUUUGGCCCAGUGCCGCCCCUUAUGGCAGCGAGGGCAAAUACCGGGGACUGACCCAACUCUAGGAGGAGGAGCUGUGGUAGGGCAUUGGCGAGCGAAAUGGCCUGGCUGUCUACAUUUAAAGCAGUUACGCAUAGGCGGUGCGCCCCUGGGGAAGGAAGGAGGAUAAGAAGCCGGGGGAGUUUGAACAGCGGCACCUACAGCUAAAAGGGCUUGGACUUUGGAUGUAAAAGGAUCGACAUCUCUACACAUUCUCAGCAUUUCAUCAAGAGUUUUGUCUCGAGUCUUACCGCGGAGGACGGCUCGACAUGCCGAAUUGGCGUUUUCAUAGGCUAGCUGUUUUACAAUCUUAUCAUUGGCAGCCGCGGAACCAAGGGUCCUUUCGGCGGCCUCUAACAGUCUGCUAACAAAUUCGCUAUAGUCUUCUUGCGAGCUUUGAGUGAUCUUAGUUAGAGGAGUGUUAGCAGUCCUGGAAGCAGGGAGUGAUAUCCAAGCGCCCAAAGCGGCAUCUUUCACUUGAGAUAAAAGACCAAGGGGAAGGCGCUGCUGCCUGGUUUCAGAGAUAUAUCUGCCCUGUCCCGUAAGCUUAUCAAAAGUCUAGGACGCUGUUGGGGAAUGAGGGUCUUUUACAUUGGCAGCAGCGAUGGUCUGACAGCGGUCAGCAAAAUCUGCCUUCCAAGUUAAAAACUGACCACGGGUAAGCACAGCCUGGACUAUACGCAGCCAUUCACCUGGGAGUAAAUGUCCUCCUCGAGACAGCGAAUCAAGAACAGAAAGGGUAAAAGGGGCAUUGGGGCCAUAAGCUUUAACGGCCGCGUUCAGCUCUUUUAAGCUUUUGAAAUGGAUUUUGUGAAAUUCUCUAGGGCCAUCAGCAGGCUCGGCCGGCUCUGGCUCAGCCUGCUCCUCUCCCUCACUUUCUAUUUCCUGAGCAGCAGGGGCGUCUUCGCCGUCGCUUUCAAGAUCGCCCUCUUCCGGACUAUGUGUUGUGGAGGUGGGGCCAGAGCGGGCGGAGGCCCGGGAUGAAUUUCGGGGCCAUUAAUGAUAAACCACGGACAGACUUCAUCAACAAAAAUAAAAAACUUUACCAAGUCUUUCUUUUUAACUCGAA
Manis pentadactyla (Chinese pangolin) is the source of this 1191-nucleotide long non-coding RNA. RefSeq lists it as uncharacterized. The transcript is spliced from 2 exons. NCBI's taxonomy places the organism in Eukaryota, Metazoa, Chordata, Mammalia, Pholidota, Manidae. The record is from RefSeq and is a predicted model, not a curated record.